This is a long non-coding RNA of Stegodyphus dumicola, 857 nucleotides long. The record is from RefSeq and is a predicted model, not a curated record. NCBI's taxonomy places the organism in Eukaryota, Metazoa, Arthropoda, Arachnida, Araneae, Eresidae.
UGCAGUGCCCUCGCCGGGACUCGAACCUGGACCUCUUGAAUACGCACCGAGUGUGCUACCGUUACACCACGAAGGCAUGCUGGAAGGAGAGAGAGGAAAUACCUUAUACAUUCACUGAUAUCACGGCUUUGGGAUAAAAUCUCUGAUGUUUGACAGAUAAAGAAACACCAGCUACCCUCUUUUUUUCCAAGAUCAUGAUAUAUUAUUGAAUAGUUGAAAGUACUCUAAUUUUUAUGCAAUGUAAUCAUACAUCACUAAAGAAAACAUUGUGGAAGUGGAGUGCUGAAGAAAGCAGAGAUGUUGAUAAUGUUUGCCAACUUACAAUAAAUAUCGACAGUCUGGGAAUCCCUCUGUUCAAAAGUUGCAAAAUCACUAACUUGCACCCGAUAAAAAUGCAAUAGCAGUAUCAGCAUCAGUAGCAGUAGCAGUAGCUGGAGGAGGAGGAGCAGAGGAGUAGCAUCAAGAUGUGUAGUAGGAGUAGUAGAAGGAGAAGCAGAAGGCUUAUUUUUUUAGAUAAUAGCUCUCUAGGAAAGUUUCUUCCAAGCUUUUAGCAUUUAUGGUUGAGCGUUAGAAAGGACUUCUCAUCUUCAUCUGGAAACUUAAAAGCAAGUGGAAACGCAAGUUUAAUUCAGGAAUUAAACUGAAGAAUAUUUCUCAAGAAACAAAGUAAGUAUAUACAUGACUGUGUUAAAAAUCUCGUGCAAGAGGGAAAAUGUGAAGAUUUACUCAGAGAUAAAAGUGCAAGAGAUAUUUCCAGAGACUAAAAGCUUUUCAAGCAAAUAUUUCACGCAGAGGCUUAUGUUUAUUUAGUAACUGUAUAAUUCAUUUUAGUGUCAGUGCUGGCAGUUUAACUUUUG